Molecule: ribosomal RNA, 478 nt
Filed under: uncultured bacterium
Lineage: Bacteria
Description: partial 16S ribosomal RNA
Rfam family: Bacterial small subunit ribosomal RNA
Source: RNAcentral
GAUGAACGCUGGCGGCGUGCUUAACACAUGCAAGUCGAACGAGAAGUGAAGACGGAAACCUUCGGGCGGAAGGCUUUAUUUCGAGUGGCGGACGGGUGAGUAACGCGUGGGUAACCUGCCUCAUACAGGGGGAUAACAGUUGGAAACGACUGGUAAUACCGCAUAAGACCACAGCACCGCAUGGUGCGGGGGUAAAAACUCCGGUGGUAUGAGAUGGACCCGCGUUCGAUUAGCCAGUUGGCGGGGUAACGGCCCACCAAAGCGACGAUCGAUAGCCGAUCUGAGAGGAUGACCGGCCACAUUGGGACUGAGACACGGCCCAAACUCCUACGGGAGGCAGCAGUGGGGAAUAUUGCACAAUGGGGGAAACCCUGAUGCAGCGACGCCGCGUGAGUGAAGAAGUAUUUCGGUAUGUAAAGCUCUAUCAGCAGGGAAGAAAAUGACGGUACCUGAGUAAGAAGCCCCGGCUAACUACGUG